CAGUGAAUGGAUUAAUGCUGUUGGCACGGCAGUGGGUUUGUUACAAAAGGAGGGAAUUCAACCCCUUUUACUUUCACUUUCACUUUCUCUCUCUCACUCUCUUACCUUCCACCAUGGGAUGACAUAGCGAGAAGUUCCUCACUAGAUGCCAGAAACUUAAUACUGGACUUCCCACCUUCCAGAACUGUGAACUGCAGUUUAUCAAUAUUUUUCUGCAUGGAUUAUGGUUUUUGUGUUAUGUCUAAGAAUUCUGUACCUAACCCAGAUCAUGAAGAUUUUCUCCUGUGUUUGCUUCUAAAAUUUUUACAGAGACAGGGCUUCACCAAGUUGCCAAGACUGGUCUUGAACUCCUGGCCCCAAGCAAUCCACCCACCUCAGCCUCUAAAAGUGCUGGGAUUACAGGUAUGAGCCACCACGCCCAGCCGAGAUGCUGUUAUUUCUGAUGCUAGAUCACAACAAGCAAUAACAGUUUCUCUGCCUGACUCCUCAGAACCCAGGCACCAAGCUGAGGAGGCCUAUGCAGCCACAUAAAAAGGUCACAUGUAGGUGUUCAUAUGCAACUGCCCUAGCUGAGGUCCCAGCCAACAGCAUCAACCACCCAAUUUGUGAUGGAGCCUUCAGUUGUGUUGUCUGAUAGCAACAUGCGAACCAUACAUGUAGGCCACAUAUGUAAAUUUAAAUUUUCUAGUAGUCACAUUAAAAUUCAAUUUUAAUACAUUGAGUUUAAUCUAUCUAAAAUAUAAUCAAUAUAAAAACCAUUAAGAUAGUUUAGUUUCUUUUUUUAUACAAAGUCUUCGAAAUCUGAUGCACAUUUUAUACUUACAGUCCUAUUUUCAAUCAACACACUAGUCUCCAUUCAGACUGGCCUCACUUCAACUGCUCAGUAGCCACUUGUGGCUAUCAUAGUGUGGCCGCUUCAAAUGACCCCACUGACCAACUGUUGAUUCCAACCUUGAGUUUUCCCAACUGAAACCCCAGACAUCAUGGAGUUACAAAGCUGUUCCUGCUGUGCCCUUUCUGAAUCCUUGACUCACAAAAUCUGUGAACACAAAUACUGGCAACUAAGUGUGUGACGGUUUAUUAUACAUCUGUAGUAACUGGGAUGCUAGCCUAUGAGAGUUUCAUAACUUAUUUAAACAUUUCCCUACUUAGAUAUUUCUCCCACCUCUUUCCAGGAUAUUAGUAUAACCAAUGACGAUGAGCAAUACAAGCUCUGUAAGUUAGUCAAAUUAUUUCCUUAAAUGUUUGAGGGUGGCAUUUCUGGGUCAAUUAGAACAUACAUUUACAUUUACAUUCAUGUUGCCAAACUGUUAUCCAAAGCAGCUUAACCAGUUCUUACCAACAAUCAUCUAUGUGUGUGCAGCCGUGCUUCUUUUGAUUAAAUCUGGCCCUCUGCAAUCAUCAGUUGAAUACUUAGAUCCUUUCUUUUCUAUUUUAUAACAUUCCUAAGUUUGCUUUAUUGCUUUUACAUUGUGAACUAUAUCCAUGAUAUAUUUUUAUCACAAAAUAUUCAGGCAAUGCAUUGACUAUACAAAAGAAGUACUAUACCAUUAUUCUUUACUUUGGAUCUUUUUCAACUUAAUGUCAUAGACAACUUUGCCUGUCAGCUCAUAAAAGUCUAACUCACCAAAUGUUAAUUAAUUAAAGGACUGUCUUUUAAUUAAAUGUUGAGUGACUACAUGGUAGUCCAAAGACUGCAUGUAUCUUCAACAUUCCUCUGAUGACAGAUAUUACAGUGAUUCCACCUCUUCAUUACUACAAUGCUGUAAAGACCACCUUUACUUUUUAAUUAGAUUUUAAGUAGAAAUGUUAGGUCAAAAGGUCAAAGUUGGUAGGCAUAAUCAUUUAUAUUUCUUUUUCUGACAACUGUACAUUCACAUCCAAGACCAUUUCUCCACUGGAAUUUUUAUAUUUAUGUAUUUUAAGGACUCUCUAAAUAGUCUAAGUGUUACCUGUUAAAUAUGAUGAUGGUAAUAUUUUCUCCAAGUCCAGCCCUUUGUAUUUUAAUACUACGAAGCCUCUAGUUGCAGAAACUAAAAGCUUUUAGUUUCUGUGUGGCAUUUGUCUUAUUUUUAUGACUUCUGAGUUUUCUUAUAUAGGAAGAUAACUAUACUAAGUUACAGAAGAUACAUGAAUGAUGCUUGAUUAAAUAUUUCAUUUCAAAGAACUCAGUCAAAGUCAUAAUUUCACUUCAUCAUACCAAUAUAGGUCGAGUAUCCCUUGUCUGAAAUGCGUGAGACCAGAAGUAUUUAGGAUUUCAGACUUUUUUGGACUUUGCAAUAUUUGCAUGCAAAUAAUAAGGAAUCUUGGGGGUGCAUUUUUUUUUUUUUUUUUUUUUUU
This 2340-nucleotide long non-coding RNA is filed under the name Homo sapiens (human). RNAcentral describes it as "HSALNT0161883". Lineage: Eukaryota; Metazoa; Chordata; Mammalia; Primates; Hominidae. The record is from RNAcentral.